ACAAGACAUUUGCCCUGGGCAUUUGGGGGCGGCUUUUUUUGCCGCCCCCAAAUGCCCAGGGCAAAUGUCUUGUUAGC
Molecule: microRNA precursor, 77 nt
Filed under: Pelobates cultripes (western spadefoot toad)
Lineage: Eukaryota; Metazoa; Chordata; Amphibia; Anura; Pelobatidae
Source: RNAcentral